GUGUGUUUCCUGUUGUCCGUGAAGAUUUAAUAGCCCGUCAACAAACAGCACAAAAUCAUACUGGAACAUCGUUUCGUCACGGGUUUAAUUUUGUGUAAAGCUUCCAUACAAACGUCUGUCCUCAGGUUGGCAGGGACAAAGUAGUUAAGUUACACGGCUGUGGCUGGCAUGUGUGGGCAUUCUAGCGUGUAAAGUUACCGAGGAUGUGGAGGACAGGUACUGGUCCGAGUCUGGGGAGGGCAGCCAGACUCUGUUCCAGCACCCCACCAAAAGCUUCUCACACAAACUUCACUGCACGGCCCCACGCCGAGAAGCAGAGGCGCAGACGAGUGCGGGAGGAGGGCAUCCUAUCGAGUCAGCAUGGUAGUGCUGAAGGUAAAGCAGUAAAGUGGAGUGAGAAGCAGAAGAUUGCUUAUACCGGUCCUACACCUCCUGGGGCAAAGAAAGACACUAGCUUACCGUUCCCGUCUUGUUACAGUCCAGAGUAUGUGGAGUCCAGCUGGUAUCAGUGGUGGGAGAAAGAGGGAUUCUUCAGUCCUGAGCAACACGAACGGCUGCCCCACGCUGUGGAUCAGACCUUCUCUCUGUGUAUUCCUCCACCAAACGUGACUGGGACUCUGCACCUGGGCCACGCUCUGACAGUAGCUGUAGAGGAUGCACUGGUUCGAUGGAGAAGGAUGCAGGGCUGCAGAGUGCUGUGGGUGCCUGGAUGUGACCAUGCAGGUAUCGCAACGCAGACGGUGGUGGAGAGGAGACUGCUGAGGCAAACAGGGAGGCACAGACGAGACUUUAAGAGGGACGAGUUUCUGGAGGAGGUGUGGAAGUGGAAGAAUGAGAAAGGAGACGAGAUCUACCACCAGCUGAGGAAGCUUGGAGCUUCUCUGGACUGGAGCAGAGCCUGUUUCACUAUGGACCCAGGUUUUAGCAGAGCUGUAACAGCAGCGUUUGUUCGUCUGUGUGACUCUGGUCUAAUUUAUCGCUCAGAGGGUUUGGUCAGCUGGAGCUGUGCCCUGGAAUCUGCCAUCUCUGACAUAGAGGUAGACUCGAAGGAGCUCUCUGGCCGGACCAUGUUGUCUGUUCCUGGCUAUGAAAACAAGAUUGAGUUUGGAACGAUGCUGAGCUUUGCGUAUCCCGUAGAAGGCCACGACACCGAGGUGGUGGUCUCCACCACCCGUCCAGAGACUAUGCUGGGAGACGUGGCCAUAGCUGUUCACCCUGAUGAUCCUCGAUACCAGACUGUUCACGGGAAGCACUGCAGACAUCCUUUCACUGACAGACUGUUACCCAUCAUCACUGAUUCAAUGGUGGACGUGGAGCUUGGAACCGGUGCAGUGAAGGUGACUCCUGCUCAUGACCACACAGACUUCGUCCUCUCACAGAGACACUCCCUUCCACGCCUGACUGUGAUUGCUGGCGAUGGGACGAUGACAGGGUCCUGUGGACAGUGGCUGGAGGGAGUGAAGCGUUUUGAUGCCAGACAGCUCGUUGUGGAAGCUCUGGCUGAGAAAAGACUGUUCAGAGGAAGAAAAGAUCAUGCCAUGAGUUUACCCAUCUGCAGCCGCUCAGGAGACAUCAUUGAACCCCUUCUAAAAAACCAGUGGUUUGUCCGGUGUGAUGAAAUGGCAAAAAAAGCUGUGCAGGCUGUCGAGGAAAGACGGCUGGAAAUCAUUCCUGAGUACUACACCAAGACGUGGAAGAACUGGCUGUCCAACAUCAGUGACUGGUGCAUAUCCAGGCAGCUCUGGUGGGGUCAUCAGAUCCCUGCCUACAAAGUGAUGCUUCCUAAUUAUGAGGGCCAACAAGAGGAGCAGUGGGUUUGGGGACACAGCGAGGACGAGGCCCGUCAGAAAGCUGCUGUCAAAUAUGGAUUGAAGCCAGAUGCCGUCACAUUGACUCGGGACCCAGAUGUCUUGGAUACAUGGUUUUCCUCUGCGCUCUUUCCCUUUGCCAUGCUUGGCUGGCCAGAUCAGACCGCUGACCUGCAGCAGUUUUACCCUAACUCUGUUCUGGAGACGGGCAGUGACCUCAUCUUUUUCUGGGUGGCCAGGAUGGUGAUGCUUGGAACAGAGCUGACCGGGCAGCUACCCUUUAAACAGGUCCUGUUUCAUUCACUAGUGAGAGAUAAAUAUGGCAGAAAAAUGAGUAAAUCUCUGGGAAAUGUCAUCGACCCCUUAGACGUUAUACACGGAGUCACUUUGGAGACACUUCAAGGAAAAGUGAAGGAGGGGAACCUUGAUCCGAGGGAGCAGCUGGUUGCCAUGGAAGCACAGAGGAAGGACUUCCCCGUGGGGAUCCCAGAGUGUGGGACCGAUGCUCUGCGCUUUGCCCUUUGCUCUCACAAAAUGCAGGGAGAAGACAUCAGUCUGUCCGUCUCUCAGGUUCUGAGCUGCAGACACUUCUGUAAUAAGAUGUGGCAGACCUUAAGGUUCACAUUGGGAGUGCUGAGUGAGAACAGAGCAACAGUGGAAACCAUAGCAAAGACAGCUCCUCUGAGCAGCAUGGACCGCUGGAUCUGCUCCAGACUCCACAGCACGGUUGGACAGUGUGAGCAGGCCUUUGACGCUUAUGAGCUCCACACAGUCACGUCUGCCCUGUAUUCCUUCUGGGUCCACAGCCUGUGUGAUAUUUACAUGGAGUAUAUAAAGCCUCUGCUGACCCAGCAGGACCAGGAAGCCGUCCUCACCACCGACGCAGAGCACAGUGGUGACGUGAGGCAGGCGGCCAUCGCUGUUCUCUAUCACUGUGUGUCUGUGUCCUUGGCCCUGCUCUCCCCCUUCAUGCCGUUCAUCACUGAGGAGCUGUGGCAGAGACUUCAGCCAUUUGCACCCGAAGCUGCUGCACAAACCAGCCUGUGUUUACAGCCGUACCCCCACUCUGCUCAGUUGGCACACUGGCAUUUUGCCGAAGAGGAAAGAGGUUUCCUGCUGGUACAGGAAGUGAUCCGAGUGGCCCGUUCUUUACGAGCACAGUGUGGCAUAACCAAAGCAAAACCUGACAUGUGGGCAGUGUGUUCGCCCAGCCAGGCCGAGGUCCUCCUUCGCUUCGGGUCAGCGAUUAGGACUUUAAGCCGAAUCUCCGACCUUCACAUCUGCUGUUCUGACACAGACGGUAUCCCCCUGUCUGUUCACUCCACUUCUCCGCCCAAAACAAGCCUCGUUGGUGUGGUGGACCACACAUGUCAGCUACAUCUUCACUUUCAACUUUUUAGAUCAUCAGGAGAGCUUUCAGAUGAAACCACUGAAGACCAUGAGCUCCUCUGUACACAGACGAGUCAGAGGUGAGGGCAUCUGUCCCACAGCCAAGCCUGGAGUCAUGCAUCGGGACAAUGUACCCAAACACAGUCAAGGUGCUGCAAUAUCCCAGUCACGGUGUGGACCUGAACUCCAUUGAAAUGCUGUGGCAGGACCUUAUGAGAGCUGUGUUUAAAUACAUGCACGCACGUAAUCUAUGAGUAUUAAAUGUCAUGUGACCUUUGCUUAAGCAAAUCUAAUAACUCUUCAGAGAAGCACACAUUGUUAAAGUCAUGUUUGCAUUGUGAUGAGAAUCCCAUCCUGUUCCUGUUGAAUGUUUUUGCAGUGGUGGUGAGGAUGUUGGUCAUGUCUAACGUACUGUGUUGUGUCUCUCAGAGUGGAAUGAACAUUGAGAAACAGAUUGUGCAGCUCUCUCAGCGCAGAGACAGGCUCGGCCCAAAGCUGGAUGAAAUCCUUGCCAGAGUCCAGUCUCCAAGCUACCUCACCAAGGUUCCUUCUCAUAUCAGAGAGCAGAUGGACAGUAAGGUGUCUGCUUUGGAGCAGGAACUGAAAACUGUUGAGGAUCAACUGAAAUUGCUGCAAGAGAUGCAAACAGCAGAAUAACUGAAGCCUUUACAGUAGCUGUGUGGACUGCUCGAGGAAAAAAACUGCUGUUUCAUUAUUUAUAAUAUUAUCUGAGUCAAAAA
Molecule: RNA transcript, 3937 nt
Organism: Oreochromis niloticus (Nile tilapia)
Lineage: Eukaryota; Metazoa; Chordata; Actinopteri; Cichliformes; Cichlidae
Gene: vars2
Gene name: valyl-tRNA synthetase 2, mitochondrial
Exons: 29
Source: RefSeq, a predicted model, not a curated record